ACUUCUCCAGGUUGACCUCAGAUCAGGUAGGAAUACCCGCUGAACUUAAGCAUAUC
Molecule: ribosomal RNA, 56 nt
Filed under: Emericellopsis terricola
Lineage: Eukaryota; Fungi; Ascomycota; Sordariomycetes; Hypocreales; Bionectriaceae
Description: partial 28S ribosomal RNA
Source: RNAcentral